CCUACGGGGGGCAGCAGUGGGGAAUAUUGGACAAUGGGGGGAACCCUGAUCCAGCCAUGCCGCGUGUGUGAAGAAGGCCCUCGGGUUGUAAAGCACUUUCAGUGAGGAAGAACGCCUGGUGGUUAAUACCCAUCAGGAAAGACAUCACUCACAGAAGAAGCACCGGCUAACUCCGUGCCAGCAGCCGCGGUAAUACGGAGGGUGCGAGCGUUAAUCGGAAUUACUGGGCGUAAAGCGCGCGUAGGUGGCUUGAUAAGCCGGUUGUGAAAGCCCCGGGCUCAACCUGGGAACGGCAUCCGGAACUGUCAAGCUAGAGUGCAGGAGAGGAAGGUAGAAUUCCCGGUGUAGCGGUGAAAUGCGUAGAGAUCGGGAGGAAUACCAGUGGCGAAGGCGGCCUUCUGGACUAACACUGACACUGAGGUGCGAAAGCGUGGGUAGCAAACAGGAUUAGAUACCCUGGUAGUC
This 465-nucleotide ribosomal RNA is filed under the name Vreelandella stevensii. Its description in RNAcentral is "partial 16S ribosomal RNA". It matches the Rfam family "Bacterial small subunit ribosomal RNA", at positions 338 to 795 of the family's 1533-position model. Lineage: Bacteria; Pseudomonadati; Pseudomonadota; Gammaproteobacteria; Oceanospirillales; Halomonadaceae. The record is from RNAcentral.